RNAcentral lists this ribosomal RNA (253 nucleotides) under uncultured bacterium. Its description in RNAcentral is "partial 16S ribosomal RNA". It matches the Rfam family "Bacterial small subunit ribosomal RNA", at positions 524 to 776 of the family's 1533-position model. The record is from RNAcentral.
UACGGAGGGUGCAAGCGUUGUUCGGGCUCAUUGGGCGUAAAGCGCGUGUCGGCGGCCUGGUAAGUCGGGUGUGAAAUCCCGGGGCUCAACCCCGGAACUGCACUCGAAACUACCUCGCUAGAGUCUCGGAGAGGAAGGCGGAAUUCCCGGUGUAGAGGUGAAAUUCGUAGAUAUCGGGAGGAACACCAGCGGCGAAGGCGGCCUUCUGGACGGUGACUGACGCUGAGACGCGAAAGCGUGGGGAGCAAACAGG